Molecule: ribosomal RNA, 464 nt
Filed under: Vreelandella stevensii
Lineage: Bacteria; Pseudomonadati; Pseudomonadota; Gammaproteobacteria; Oceanospirillales; Halomonadaceae
Description: partial 16S ribosomal RNA
Rfam family: Bacterial small subunit ribosomal RNA
Source: RNAcentral
CCUACGGGGGGCUGCAGUGGGGAAUAUUGGACAAUGGGGGCAACCCUGAUCCAGCCAUGCCGCGUGUGUGAAGAAGGCCUCGGGUUGUAAAGCACUUUCAGUGAGGAAGAACGCCUGGUGGUUAAUACCCAUCAGGAAAGACAUCACUCACAGAAGAAGCACCGGCUAACUCCGUGCCAGCAGCCGCGGUAAUACGGAGGGUGCGAGCGUUAAUCGGAAUUACUGGGCGUAAAGCGCGCGUAGGUGGCUUGAUAAGCCGGUUGUGAAAGCCCCGGGCUCAACCUGGGAACGGCAUCCGGAACUGUCAAGCUAGAGUGCAGGAGAGGAAGGUAGAAUUCCCGGUGUAGCGGUGAAAUGCGUAGAGAUCGGGAGGAAUACCAGUGGCGAAGGCGGCCUUCUGGACUGACACUGACGCUGAGGUGCGAAAGCGUGGGUAGCAAACAGGAUUAGAUACCCUGGUAGUC